This 665-nucleotide ribosomal RNA is filed under the name uncultured Lachnospiraceae bacterium. RNAcentral's name for it is "bacterial SSU rRNA". It matches the Rfam family "Bacterial small subunit ribosomal RNA", at positions 63 to 732 of the family's 1533-position model. Lineage: Bacteria; Bacillati; Bacillota; Clostridia; Lachnospirales; Lachnospiraceae. The record is from RNAcentral.
CGAAGCGCUUAAAUGGAUUUCUUCGGAUUGAAGUUUUUGUGACUGAGUGGCGGACGGGUGAGUAACGCGUGGGUAACCUGCCUCAUACAGGGGGAUAACAGUUAGAAAUGACUGCUAAUACCGCAUAAGCGCACAGUGCUGCAUGGCACAGUGUGAAAAACUCCGGUGGUAUGAGAUGGACCCGCGUCUGAUUAGCUAGUUGGUGGGGUAACGGCCUACCAAGGCGACGAUCAGUAGCCGGCCUGAGAGGGUGAACGGCCACAUUGGGACUGAGACACGGCCCAAACUCCUACGGGAGGCAGCAGUGGGGAAUAUUGCACAGUGGGGGAAACCCUGAUGCAGCGACGCCGCGUGAGCGAAGAAGUAUUUCGGUAUGUAAAGCUCUAUCAGCAGGGAAGAAAAUGACGGUACCUGACUAAGAAGCACCGGCUAAAUACGUGCCAGCAGCCGCGGUAAUACGUAUGGUGCAAGCGUUAUCCGGAUUUACUGGGUGUAAAGGGAGCGUAGACGGUUGUGUAAGUCUGAUGUGAAAGCCCGGGGCUCAACCCCGGGACUGCAUUGGAAACUAUGUAACUAGAGUGUCGGAGAGGUAAGCGGAAUUCCUAGUGUAGCGGUGAAAUGCGUAGAUAUUAGGAGGAACACCAGUGGCGAAGGCGGCUUACUGG